AGAGUUUGAUCCUGGCUCAGGAUUAACGCUAGCGGCAGGCCUAAUACAUGCAAGUCGAACGGGAUUUCGGUUAGCAAUAACUGGAUGAGAGUGGCGCACGGGUGCGUAACACGUAUGCAACCUACCUAUAACUGGGGGAUAGCCUCCCGAAAGGGAGAUUAACACCGCAUAACAUUAUGAAGUGGCAUCACUUUAUAAUUAAAUCUACGGAGGUUAUAGAUGGGCAUGCGUCCGAUUAGCUAGUUGGUGAGGUAACGGCUCACCAAGGCUCCGAUCGGUAGGGGGUCUGAGAGGAUGAUCCCCCACACUGGUACUGAGACACGGACCAGACUCCUACGGGAGGCAGCAGUAAGGAAUAUUGGACAAUGGGCGCAAGCCUGAUCCAGCCAUGCCGCGUGAGUGAAGAAGGCCUUCGGGUUGUAAAGCUCUUUCGGCGGGAACGAAACGGUCCAUGCCAACACCAUGGACUAAUGACGGUACCCGAAGAAGAAGCACCGGCUAACUACGUGCCAGCAGCCGCGGUAAUACGUAGGGUGCAGGCGUUAAUCGGAAUUACUGGGCGUAAAGCGUGCGCAGGCGGUUUCUUAAGUCAGAUGUGAAAGCCCCGGGCUCAACCUGGGAACUGCGUUUGAAACUGGGAGACUCGAGUAUGUCAGAGGGGGGUGGAAUUCCACGUGUAGCAGUGAAAUGCGUAGAGAUGUGGAGGAACACCGAUGGCGAAGGCAGCCCCCUGGGAUAAUACUGACGCUCAUGCACGAAAGCGUGGGGAGCAAACAGGAUUAGAUACCCUGGUAG
This 795-nucleotide ribosomal RNA is filed under the name uncultured bacterium. RNAcentral describes it as "bacterial SSU rRNA". It matches the Rfam family "Bacterial small subunit ribosomal RNA", at positions 8 to 793 of the family's 1533-position model. The record is from RNAcentral.